ACGCUGUAAACGAUGAGUACUAGGUGUCGGGGGUUACCCCCUUCGGUGCCGCAGCUAACGCAUUAAGUACUCCGCCUGGGAAGUACGCUCGCAAGAGUGAAACUCAAAGGAAUUGACGGGGACCCGCCCAAGUAGCGGAGCAUGUGGUUUAAUUCGAAGCAACGCGAAGAACCUUACCUAAGCUUGACAUCCCAAUGACAUCUCCUUAAUCGGAGAGUACCCUUCGGGGACAUUGGUGACAGGUGGUGCAUGGUUGUCGUCAGCUCGUGUCGUGAGAUGUUGGGUUAAGUCCCGCAACGAGCGCAACCCUUGUCUUUAGUUGCCAUCAUUAAGUUGGGCACUCUAGAGAGACUGCCA
RNAcentral lists this ribosomal RNA (357 nucleotides) under Clostridioides difficile. Its description in RNAcentral is "bacterial SSU rRNA". It matches the Rfam family "Bacterial small subunit ribosomal RNA", at positions 797 to 1154 of the family's 1533-position model. Lineage: Bacteria; Bacillati; Bacillota; Clostridia; Peptostreptococcales; Peptostreptococcaceae. The record is from RNAcentral.